AUGGCAGGCGAGGACACCAACCCCAAGUCCAGCACUUCCACUGCUGCUGUCCCGUACGUGUUCUUACUCUUUCUCUUAGAUGUCAUGACACAGUUCUUUGCUCUACUUUCCGUCCUACAUGUGUUAGGUUCUACUUCAUAUAUGCAACUUCAUCUAGUGUCUGUUCUAGAUGUAUUUAGUUCAAGUUCAUAUAUGCAGAUACUCUUUACCUUCUCUCUGACCGAACGCAUGACUUGUUUUAUCUCUACUAUAUUAGUCAUGCUUUAUCUAGUAUUUCUGUUAAUAAAAUCAUUCGGUAAAUUGCUCAUAUUUCCAACAAGUAGCACUACGCGAGAUGACUGA
RNAcentral lists this ribosomal RNA (342 nucleotides) under Triticum aestivum (bread wheat). RNAcentral's name for it is "partial small subunit ribosomal RNA". The record is from RNAcentral. Lineage: Eukaryota; Viridiplantae; Streptophyta; Magnoliopsida; Poales; Poaceae.